Molecule: transfer RNA, 71 nt
Filed under: Polypterus senegalus senegalus (gray bichir)
Lineage: Eukaryota; Metazoa; Chordata; Cladistia; Polypteriformes; Polypteridae
Description: tRNA-Trp
Rfam family: tRNA
About the family: Transfer RNA (tRNA) molecules are approximately 80 nucleotides in length.
Source: RNAcentral
AGGAGUUUAGAUUAACUUUAAACCAAAAGCCUUCAAAGCUUUAGACAGAGGUUAAAAUCCUCUAACUCCUG